GAUGAGCGCUGGCGGCGUGCUUAACACAUGCAAGUCGAACGGUGAAGCAGGAGCUUGCUCUUGUGGAUCAGUGGCGAACGGGUGAGUAACACGUGAGCAACCUGCCCCUGACUCUGGGAUAAGCGCUGGAAACGGCGUCUAAUACUGGAUAUGUGAUGUGACCGCAUGGUCUGCAUCUGGAAAGAAUUUCGGUUGGGGAUGGGCUCGCGGCCUAUCAGCUUGUUGGUGAGGUAAUGGCUCACCAAGGCGUCGACGGUUAGCCGGCCUGAGAGGGUGACCGGCCACACUGGGACUGAGACACGGCCCAGACUCCUACGGGAGGCAGCAGUGGGGAAUAUUGCACAAUGGGCGGAAGCCUGAUGCAGCAACGCCGCGUGAGGGAUGACGGCCUUCGGGUUGUAAACCUCUUUUAGCAGGGAAGAAGCGAAAGUGACGGUACCUGCAGAAAGAGCACCGGCUAACUACGUGCCAGCCGCCGCCGUAA
RNAcentral lists this ribosomal RNA (484 nucleotides) under uncultured bacterium. RNAcentral describes it as "partial 16S ribosomal RNA". It matches the Rfam family "Bacterial small subunit ribosomal RNA", at positions 28 to 523 of the family's 1533-position model. The record is from RNAcentral.